Molecule: ribosomal RNA, 253 nt
Filed under: uncultured bacterium
Lineage: Bacteria
Description: partial 16S ribosomal RNA
Rfam family: Bacterial small subunit ribosomal RNA
Source: RNAcentral
UACGAAGGGGGCUAGCGUUGCUCGGAAUCACUGGGCGUAAAGCGCACGUAGGCGGCUUCUUAAGUCAGGGGUGAAGUCCUGGAGCUCAACUCCAGAACUGCCUUUGAUACUGAGAAGCUUGAGUCCGGGAGAGGUGAGUGGAACUGCGAGUGUAGAGGUGAAAUUCGUAGAUAUUAGGAAGAACACCGGUGGCGAAGGCGGCCUGCUGGGCUGUUGCUGACGCUGAGGCGCGACAGCGUGGGGAGCAAACAGG